Molecule: small RNA, 1325 nt
Filed under: Pongo abelii (Sumatran orangutan)
Lineage: Eukaryota; Metazoa; Chordata; Mammalia; Primates; Hominidae
Description: processed transcript
Source: RNAcentral
AGGCUGUUUUGUGACACGGACCUGGUGUGGAAGCGAGAGGAGGUGGCUUGAUUGCCGGGCGUCUGUUCCGAGGGAGGAGGGUGUUGCCAUCUCCCUCACAGGCCCUUAUCACCCCUUUCUCAGGCGGGAGCAUGCUGGGGCUCUGGAGGCAGCGGCUCCCCGCGGCGUGGGUCCUGCCCUUGUUGCCUUUCCUGCCGCUGCUGUUGCUUGCAGCCCCCGCGCCCCACCGCGCGUCCUACAAGCCGGUCAUCGUGGUGCAUGGGCUCUUCGACAGCUCGUACAGCUUCCGCCACCUGCUGGAAUACAUCAAUGAGACACACCCCGGGACUGUGGUGACAGUGCUCGAUCUCUUCGAUGGGAGAGAGAGCUUGCGACCCCUGUGGGAACAGGUGCAAGGGUUCCGAGAGGCUGUGGUCCCCAUCAUGGCAAAGGCCCCUCAAGGGGUGCAUCUCAUCUGCUACUCGCAGGGGGGCCUUGUGUGCCGGGCUCUGCUUUCUGUCAUGGAUGAUCACAAUGUGGAUUCUUUCAUCUCCCUCUCCUCUCCACAGAUGGGACAGUAUGGAGACACGGACUACUUGAAGUGGCUCUUCCCCACCUCCAUGCGGUCUAACCUCUAUCGGAUCUGCUACAGCCCCUGGGGCCAGGAAUUCUCCAUCUGCAACUACUGGCAUGAUCCCCACCAUGAUGACUUGUACCUCAAUGCCAGCAGCUUCCUGGCCCUGAUCAAUGGGGAAAGAGACCAUCCCAAUGCCACAGUAUGGCGGAAGAACUUUCUUCGUGUGGGCCACCUGGUGCUGAUUGGGGGCCCUGAUGAUGGUGUUAUUACUCCCUGGCAGUCCAGCUUCUUUGGUUUCUAUGAUGCAAAUGAGACCGUCCUGGAGAUGGAGGAGCAACUGCCUGCCAGGCCCACCCACCAGUCUGAGCUGCUUCUGCUGAGGCUGGUCUGCCUGAAGCCUCCCAGGAGAAAGAAGCCAGCCUGUAGGGUCCAGCAUCAAAGCGAAUCAUGGGGUCCAGGGCUGAGCUGUGCACUCUCUUAGGCGGAUUCUCCUUCCUCCUGCUACUGAUAUCAGGCGAGGGGGCCAAGGGUGGAUCCCUCAGAGAGAGGUGACAACAGAGGGGGUGGGGUCCGGGGUGAGCUCUUCUCCGGAGCCUUCUGUUGGGGGUGGGGCUUCACAGGAGGCAAAACAUGACUGAAAGUUUAGAAUGGGGGUGAGAGGCUGUCAUCUGGAGGGAGAGCGGGGCCUCAAUAUCCUCUUGAGGGAAGUGGGACUCCUGGCUCCCCAGGGCCUGGCCUACUCAAUCUCUCCCACCUCAUCCUCUGGCAU